GAUGAACGCUGGCGGCGUGCUUAACACAUGCAAGUCGAACGAACCUUCGGGUUAGUGGCGGACGGGUGAGUAACGCGUGAGAAUCUGCCCUCAGGAGGGGGACAACAGCUGGAAACGGCUGCUAAUACCCCAUAUGCCGCGAGGUGAAAUGAAUUUCGCCUGAGGAUGAGCUCGCGUCUGAUUAGCUAGUUGGUGUGGGUAAUGGCUCACCAAGGCAUCGAUCAGUAGCUGGUCUGAGAGGAUGAUCAGCCACACUGGGACUGAGACACGGCCCAGACUCCUACGGGAGGCAGCAGUGGGGAAUUUUCCGCAAUGGGCGAAAGCCUGACGGAGCAACGCCGCGUGAGGGAUGAAGGCCUCUGGGCUGUAAACCUCUUUUAUCAAGGAAGAAGAUCUGACGGUACUUGAUGAAUAAGCCACGGCUAAUUCCGUG
This 433-nucleotide ribosomal RNA is filed under the name uncultured bacterium. Its description in RNAcentral is "bacterial SSU rRNA". It matches the Rfam family "Bacterial small subunit ribosomal RNA", at positions 28 to 507 of the family's 1533-position model. The record is from RNAcentral.